Molecule: ribosomal RNA, 967 nt
Filed under: Salmonella enterica
Lineage: Bacteria; Pseudomonadati; Pseudomonadota; Gammaproteobacteria; Enterobacterales; Enterobacteriaceae
Description: bacterial SSU rRNA
Rfam family: Bacterial small subunit ribosomal RNA
Source: RNAcentral
GGGAUAACUACUGGAAACGGUGGCUAAUACCGCAUAACGUCGCAAGACCAAAGAGGGGGACCUUCGGGCCUCUUGCCAUCAGAUGUGCCCAGAUGGGAUUAGCUAGUUGGUGAGGUAACGGCUCACCAAGGCGACGAUCCCUAGCUGGUCUGAGAGGAUGACCAGCCACACUGGAACUGAGACACGGUCCAGACUCCUACGGGAGGCAGCAGUGGGGAAUAUUGCACAAUGGGCGCAAGCCUGAUGCAGCCAUGCCGCGUGUAUGAAGAAGGCCUUCGGGUUGUAAAGUACUUUCAGCGGGGAGGAAGGUGUUGUGGUUAAUAACCGCAGCAAUUGACGUUACCCGCAGAAGAAGCACCGGCUAACUCCGUGCCAGCAGCCGCGGUAAUACGGAGGGUGCAAGCGUUAAUCGGAAUUACUGGGCGUAAAGCGCACGCAGGCGGUCUGUCAAGUCGGAUGUGAAAUCCCCGGGCUCAACCUGGGAACUGCAUUCGAAACUGGCAGGCUUGAGUCUUGUAGAGGGGGGUAGAAUUCCAGGUGUAGCGGUGAAAUGCGUAGAGAUCUGGAGGAAUACCGGUGGCGAAGGCGGCCCCCUGGACAAAGACUGACGCUCAGGUGCGAAAGCGUGGGGAGCAAACAGGAUUAGAUACCCUGGUAGUCCACGCCGUAAACGAUGUCUACUUGGAGGUUGUGCCCUUGAGGCGUGGCUUCCGGAGCUAACGCGUUAAGUAGACCGCCUGGGGAGUACGGCCGCAAGGUUAAAACUCAAAUGAAUUGACGGGGGCCCGCACAAGCGGUGGAGCAUGUGGUUUAAUUCGAUGCAACGCGAAGAACCUUACCUGGUCUUGACAUCCACAGAAGAAUCCAGAGAUGGAUUUGUGCCUUCGGGAACUGUGAGACAGGUGCUGCAUGGCUGUCGUCAGCUCGUGUUGUGAAAUGUUGGGUUAAGUCCCGCAACGAGCGCAAC